RNAcentral lists this ribosomal RNA (330 nucleotides) under uncultured Cellulosimicrobium sp. RNAcentral's name for it is "bacterial SSU rRNA". It matches the Rfam family "Bacterial small subunit ribosomal RNA", at positions 1053 to 1382 of the family's 1533-position model. Lineage: Bacteria; Bacillati; Actinomycetota; Actinomycetes; Micrococcales; Promicromonosporaceae. The record is from RNAcentral.
CGUCAGCUCGUGUCGUGAGAUGUUGGGUUAAGUCCCGCAACGAGCGCAACCCUCGUCCUAUGUUGCCAGCGGGUCAUGCCGGGGACUCAUGGGAGACUGCCGGGGCCAACUCGGAGGAAGUGGGAUGACGUCAAAUCAUCAUGCCCCUUAUGUCUUGGGCUUCACGCAUGCUACAAUGGCCGGUACAAAGGGCUGCGAUACCGCGAGGUGGAGCGAAUACCCAGAAAGCCGGUCUCAGUUCGGAUUGGGGUCUGCAACUCGACCCCAUGAAGUCGGAGUCGCUAGUAAUCGCAGAUCAGCAACGCUGCGGUGAAUACGUUCCCGGGCCUU